Molecule: microRNA precursor, 89 nt
Filed under: Diaphorina citri (Asian citrus psyllid)
Lineage: Eukaryota; Metazoa; Arthropoda; Insecta; Hemiptera; Psyllidae
Description: mir-2765 microRNA precursor family
Rfam family: mir-2765 microRNA precursor family
Source: Rfam by way of RNAcentral
AUUGUAACGGGUUCUGGUAACUCCACCACCGCUGGCGUUAUAUUUUCACAUCCGCCUGCAGUGGAAGAGUUCCCUUCACUCGUUGCAUG